ACGCUCGACACCUACCGGAGGCAGCAGUGGGGAAUAUUGCACAAUGGGGGAAACCCUGAUGCAGCGACGCCGCGUGGAGGAAGAAGGUCUUCGGAUUGUAAACUCCUGUUGUUGGGGAAAAAGAGGAUGGUACCCAACAAGGAAGUGACGGCUAACUACGUGCCAGCACGCCGCGGUAAUCUGAGGCGGGCUGGACGAAGGC
Molecule: ribosomal RNA, 202 nt
Filed under: uncultured bacterium
Lineage: Bacteria
Description: partial 16S ribosomal RNA
Rfam family: Bacterial small subunit ribosomal RNA
Source: RNAcentral